This is a long non-coding RNA of Anneissia japonica, 442 nucleotides long. RefSeq lists it as uncharacterized. NCBI's taxonomy places the organism in Eukaryota, Metazoa, Echinodermata, Crinoidea, Comatulida, Comatulidae. The transcript has 3 exons. The record is from RefSeq and is a predicted model, not a curated record.
UAAUGUUUUAAUUCCCUAGUCAUGGUAUGUAGCAGGUUACCUUUUGCAGCUAAAACACACCGCCCUAGUUGGGUCUGCAUCUGUGAUAGAUGUUGCUGUUCAGAUAGGUACUGUUUUUGGGUUACUACAAACGGAUAUAGUAAACACUACACCGGUGUUAGUUCCAAUCAUCGCUGUCUACACUGGCGUCUUGACCCGGUUUAGUAUACUUUUUAUCGGGUUUCUCAUCCACAGAAGAGUGACAAGGACAAACGUAACUGAAACCCGAACAAACGAAAGCAGUUUGAGUAUUCUACGAGUGCUGAUGUUCUGGUGGCCACUUGCAAUUGUCCAAGCUGUCCAGAAAAUCAGCCGACCAAUGAUCACUUUGUUUGUAGCCAGAGACCUCGGAGGCUCAGAUGAAGCUGUUCAGGUUAGAAAAAUAUGAAAAUAUUUGUGUCUG